AGCAGCCGCGGUAAUUCCAGCUCCAAUAGCGUAUAUUAAAGUUGUUGCAGUUAAAAAGCUCGUAGUUGAAUUUCGAGAUCAAAUUGUUGGUCGUGCCUCGGUACGUACUGGCAUUAUUGAUUCUCCCUUCUGAAGAACCACGAUGUCAUUAAUUUGGUGUCGUGGGGAAUCAGGACUGUUACUUUGAAAAAUUAGAGUGUUUAAAGCAGGCUCACGCUUGAAUACAUUAGCAUGGAAUAAUGAAAUAGGACGUUUGAUUCUAUUUUGUUGGUUUCUAGGAUCGACGUAAUGAUUAAUAGGGAUAGUUGGGGGCAUUAGUAUUCAAUUGUCAGAGGUGAAAUUCUUGGAUUUAUUGAAGACUAACUACUGCGAAAGCAUUUGCCAAGGAUGUUUUCAUUAAUCAAGAACGAAAGUUAGGGGAUCGGAGACGAUCAGAUACCGUCGUAGUCU
Molecule: ribosomal RNA, 450 nt
Filed under: uncultured Glomus
Lineage: Eukaryota; Fungi; Glomeromycota; Glomeromycetes; Glomerales; Glomeraceae
Description: SSU rRNA
Rfam family: Eukaryotic small subunit ribosomal RNA
Source: RNAcentral